RNAcentral lists this ribosomal RNA (708 nucleotides) under Enterobacter ludwigii. RNAcentral's name for it is "bacterial SSU rRNA". It matches the Rfam family "Bacterial small subunit ribosomal RNA", at positions 55 to 752 of the family's 1533-position model. The record is from RNAcentral. Lineage: Bacteria; Pseudomonadati; Pseudomonadota; Gammaproteobacteria; Enterobacterales; Enterobacteriaceae.
AUGCAAGUCGAACGGUAGCACAGAGAGCUUGCUCUCGGGUGACGAGUGGGGGACGGGUGAGUAAUGUCUGGGAAACUGCCUGAUGGAGGGGGAUAACUACUGGAAACGGUAGCUAAUACCGCAUAACGUCGCAAGACCAAAGAGGGGGACCUUCGGGCCUCUUGCCAUCAGAUGUGCCCAGAUGGGAUUAGCUAGUAGGUGGGGUAACGGCUCACCUAGGCGACGAUCCCUAGCUGGUCUGAGAGGAUGACCAGCCACACUGGAACUGAGACACGGUCCAGACUCCUACGGGAGGCAGCAGUGGGGAAUAUUGCACAAUGGGCGCAAGCCUGAUGCAGCCAUGCCGCGUGUAUGAAGAAGGCCUUCGGGUUGUAAAGUACUUUCAGCGGGGAGGAAGGUGUUGUGGUUAAUAACCGCAGCAAUUGACGUUACCCGCAGAAGAAGCACCGGCUAACUCCGUGCCAGCAGCCGCGGUAAUACGGAGGGUGCAAGCGUUAAUCGGAAUUACUGGGCGUAAAGCGCACGCAGGCGGUCUGUCAAGUCGGAUGUGAAAUCCCCGGGCUCAACCUGGGAACUGCAUUCGAAACUGGCAGGCUAGAGUCUUGUAGAGGGGGGUAGAAUUCCAGGUGUAGCGGUGAAAUGCGUAGAGAUCUGGAGGAAUACCGGUGGCGAAGGCGGCCCCCUGGUACAAAGACUGACGCUCAUGGU